ACGGUAUAAUUCUAGAAUCAACUAUCAACAUCGAUAAGAUUUUAUGUCGUACUCAAAGCGGAAAGACCGUAAUGGAAAUAUUAAAAGAAGGGCACAAACCGAAUGACUUUUGUCUUACUACUAUCAGGCGGAUUCUUCGCGGGUACCUGAAAUCUGUAUACGGAUUGCGACCAUCAUCUUUCCACAAAUUUAUUGGCGAAGAGUCUUGUACAAACAUAUCCUCAGUUGUCAUCGUCAACGGUUGCUGUGCCUCAGGCACUUUGGUUUCAUCCCAAUGGUCGGGGACAAAGUCGUCAUAGCGGUCGGCUGCACUAUCAUAUGGAAUAUCUGGCUCGUAUUUCGGGAAACCGAAUAAUCAAUCGCC
Wyeomyia smithii (pitcher-plant mosquito) is the source of this 364-nucleotide long non-coding RNA. RefSeq lists it as uncharacterized. The record is from RefSeq and is a predicted model, not a curated record. NCBI's taxonomy places the organism in Eukaryota, Metazoa, Arthropoda, Insecta, Diptera, Culicidae. The transcript has 3 exons.